CAGCAGCCGCGGUAAGACAGAGGGUGCAAACGUUGUUCGGAAUUACUGGGCGUAAAGCGAGUGUAGGCGAUUCUGUAAGUCGGAUGUGAAAGCCCCGGGCUCAACCCGGGAAGUGCACUCGAUACUGCAGAGCUAGAGUACUGGAGAGGUGGGUGGAAUUCCGAGUGUAGAGGUGAAAUUCGUAGAUAUUCGGAAGAACACCAGUGACGAAGGCGACUGACUGGACAAGUAUUGACGCUGAGGUGCGAAAGCGUGGGGAGCAAACAGGAUUAGAGACCCGAGUAGUCCCUGUCUCUUAUAC
RNAcentral lists this ribosomal RNA (301 nucleotides) under uncultured bacterium. Its description in RNAcentral is "partial 16S ribosomal RNA". It matches the Rfam family "Bacterial small subunit ribosomal RNA", at positions 509 to 807 of the family's 1533-position model. The record is from RNAcentral.